CCUACGGGUGGCUGCAGUGAGGAAUAUUGGUCAAUGGCCGAGAGCCUGAACCAGCCAAGUCGCGUGAGGGAAGACGGCCCUACGGAUUGUAAACCUCUUUUGUCGGGGAGCAAAGCGAGUCACGUGUGACCCAUUGAGAGUACCCGAAGAAAAAGCAUCGGCUAACUCCGUGCCAGCAGCCGCGGUAAUACGGAGGAUUCAAGCGUUAUCCGGAUUUAUUGGGUUUAAAGGGUGCGUAGGCGGUCGGAUAAGUUAGAGGUGAAAUCCCGAGGCUCAACUUCGGAAUUGCCUCUGAUACUGUUCGGCUAGAGAGUAGGUGAGGUAGGCGGAAUGUAUGGUGUAGCGGUGAAAUGCUUAGAGAUCAUACAGAACACCGAUUGCGAAGGCAGCUUACCAAGCUACUUCUGACGUUGAGGCACGAAAGCGUGGGGAGCAAACAGGAUUAGAUACCCUGGUAGUC
RNAcentral lists this ribosomal RNA (460 nucleotides) under uncultured bacterium. Its description in RNAcentral is "partial 16S ribosomal RNA". It matches the Rfam family "Bacterial small subunit ribosomal RNA", at positions 338 to 795 of the family's 1533-position model. The record is from RNAcentral.